AGAUUAUCCAUACCAAAUCACCUUCCCAGAUAGUUUACUCAGUCACAACUCACAUGAAAGAAGAUCUGGCGAUGUUUAUUUGUCGUAUGAUCUAUAGAAUGUGCAGUUACAACAGGUAAAAGAACGAUUCUUCCAUACAGGUUAGGAGAGAUAUCACAAGUCAUAUGAAUGUACAGCAUAGAAAACACUAGAGAGGGGGAGGGG
This is a non-coding RNA of Pelobates cultripes (western spadefoot toad), 204 nucleotides long. The record is from the annotation of a GenBank genome assembly. Lineage: Eukaryota; Metazoa; Chordata; Amphibia; Anura; Pelobatidae.